AUUUUAAAAGGCGAUGAGGUUCGCCAAGACUGCCCGGGGAUAAGUCGGGAUGAUAACCUCUGCUGGAAA
RNAcentral lists this non-coding RNA (69 nucleotides) under Candidatus Omnitrophota bacterium. RNAcentral describes it as "Omnitrophica WOR Fluoride sequence". It matches the Rfam family "Fluoride riboswitch aptamer (crcB RNA motif)". Lineage: Bacteria; Pseudomonadati; Candidatus Omnitrophota. The record is from RNAcentral.